AGAAUCAAAUCACCAAUCAAUACAACACACGAACCAAUAUUUAUUUUAAUAAGAUUGUGGUUUGUGGACUUGCAAAAUUACAUCGAGGUUAUGCUCUUUACGAGGAAGUUUCGUCUGGUAGAACUAUUUGUUGGUGAGUAACAACUCUUUUUUUGUUUAUAAUAUAAUCGACUGUGGUGUAUCGGUCAAUUUGUACGUAUCUUAACUAAUUUCACGGGCACAUGAUAUCUUCUAUCAAUACAGGUAUUGGAUAACUCGCCUCCACUAAAAUUUGAACCUCCGUGAUCGCGCAAUGCUUUGUGCACCAGGCUAAAAUUUGAACUUGAGCCCUUAUAAUUUUUAGUUCACUUUAUUGUUCAUUAAGUCACGCUCUUCAAGUGAGAAACAUCCAUUAUCCCCAAGGAAUCACCUAAUGUGCUUUCCAUUCCUAUUUCAUUCAAGUUGAUUUUUACUCGGAAAGUUAACUAUUAAUGUAAGGGUUUUGAUAAUUUUUGAAUUUAUCAGAGCCUAUAUUUACCACAAAAAUUUGUAAAUCUAGGGCGAAAUUAAUGGACGAAAGCACAUACGGUCAGUUUCUAACUUCAUAACAUAAUCUUUUCUAUUGAGACUUCCCAUUGUUAUAUCUUUAAUGAUUUUAUUAUCGGCGUGUUGUGGAGUCUGCAGUGUUUGAAAUUAGAGAAAAGCUUGCUUCUUUUUUAAUAGAUUCGAGGUGAAUACAAGGUGCUGAGCUUGAACAGCAAGGCGAGCCGCUCUACUCUAGUCACGGCUACAAGUUACAGUCUGAGUCUUUUUCAGUUGUAUUCGUUUGCAGGGGCGGAGUCACAAUUUUUUGUAGGUAGUUUUCACUCAGACCUUGUACUUAUAUUUAGAAAUUUAUUUAAUAUGUAUAAGUAAUUUAUUCAGAAUCUAGUAAAUUACCUUUUCUAAAGUUCAAAAUUCAAAACUUAAAAUUCUAGCUCCGGCUCUAUUUAUGCGGGCACUGUGCUCAACAUGUCGUGACAACAAAAGGAAACACCUAAUAUUCGAAAAAAGAUUAACCUAAUCUUAGUACGUAAUGUUAAUGAAAUGGAGGACCAUGCAUAGAUGAAGGUAUUCUGACAUAGGUAGAUAUUAUUAUGCAAUGGAGUAUAAUCUCGCGAUGAUUAACAAAAAUACUCGAAAGCUCUUCUGGUUUUAAGAAAUUUUUUUGUAUUUCUAUCAUGAACCAAGCUGACUUCGUAAAGGCUUAUGAGCUAAAAGAGGUGAAAGAGGUUGAGUCAAAAAUUUAACCGGCAAAUAUAUAUUUUGUAUAUAGUUAAUGUAUAAUAUAUGCAUAUUGACCGGUAAAUAUAAAUAUUUUCGGCUGAGCGGCCAAAUAUGUAACUUUUUCUUAGAACGAAGGCUUUAUGGGUAUUGUGAUAUUGAGUGUUCUCUCUCUCCUCUUUGUUUGUAUCUCUGAUUUCCUCAUCUUUUUCUGUAUCAAUCUAAUUUUCAUCCUUUUUCUUUUUAGCUUUCUGUUGCAUUAUCCUUGUUAUCGUUGGCAUUUGCUUUGUACUUCUAGUCAGUAUUGAGUUAAUACAAUUAAUUGGUUUGGUGUAAUAUCUAGGUUGUUUCAAUUUCUCAACAUCUUCACUUGUUUUUCUUUUCUUUUGGGGGAAUCAAAGACCUAGAACAUGGAAUUCAUGAACCUACCUUUUCUAUUUUUUACUUUUGUAUUGUUUUGUGUUAAUCAUAGCAAUAGCACUCUUUGCUUUUUCUAAUUUUUUCUCUUCCAUUUAGGUUUUUAAAAGUUUGAACACUAUAAAUAAUAGUCGCGCUCCCAUAUGAGUGUAUCGGUGAAGCAACUCGAAAAGUUUAGCAAGUUAAGAAGAAUGUUUCAAUCAAAGUUGGAUUUAAACUUUAUGUACUGAUGGUGUAAAAAUAUUUAUACUAGACCAGACCACUUAUAAAAUAAUUACAAAUAAGUAAAAAUUACUAUAAUUAGUAGCCUGAUAGCCCAAACUGAUGCAGGUUGGGGUAUGAUAGAUGGGCCACGAAGUCUUACAUGGCUUUUAAACGGGGCAUUUGCAUUUAUACCCAUUUUUAGGUCACGUUUUAACUUGUAUCCGCUUUGCCAAAAAAAUUGCAAGCGUACUCACUUUUUCGCGUAACUUCAGCAUACGGGGCUGAAGUAGCAAAGGCAAUCACGCAAAACUUCAUCAUUCUAGUAGACGGGCCUGAAGUAGCAAAAAUUGCUGAACCAAGUGUGCUGAUGUUUUUGUUUGUAAUUGCUGAACUUAAACAUAGUAGCUGAAAUUUUGUUCUCUAUUUGCUAACGUUUUUGUUUGUAAUUGCUGAAUUUAAGCAUAGUAGCUGAAGUUUUGUGAUUUAGUUCAUUUAGAAAAACUUUAGCACUAAAUAAGCUGAAGUUUUUUUUGUCCUGGAUUUAUUAGUUUUGUCAUAAAACUUUUUCAAAAACUUCAGCAGAAGAUGUUGAAGUUAUUUAGUUCAUUUAUAAAAAUUUCAGCACUAUAUAAGCUGAAGUUAUUGAAAAAGCUUUCUAACAUACUAGAUAAAUAAUCACCUUAUUCUUUCAUAGUGUAUUACUUCUAUAAAUUAAUCAGAUUGUCAACAUUAUCUAAAUCAUAAAUUUUGGAAACAAUAAACGUGAAAGGAACAUAAUUAUCAUGAAAAGAAUCACUAGGUGUGACCUUAAACUUCCCGUGCGUAGAAAUAUUCACAAACUAUUGUUUACAUUAUUUAUAAUUUAUUUUUAAAUAACCUGAUAAACAUGCUUAUGGCAAUCAUCCCAUGAAAUGAAUUUUCAUAGCAGCACCAACAGUAGCAAAAGAAAGAAGAAGAAGAAGAAGAAGAAGAAGAAGAAGAAGAAGAAGAAGACGAAAGAGCAGAAUGAGGAGUAAAAAGGGGGCUGAAGUUAUUUAAAAAGUGAAUACAAAUUAAAAAAAUUUAAAAGAAUAAAUAUAGGUUAAAUGGGGCGACCAAAUAGAGCGCCCCGUAUAAUUUUUACCUUUUAAAUGGGCGAGUUUGAAGACCAAAAUAGAAGAAGUAGGUUGGGACUUGGGAUCAAUUAAAGCCACCUUUGGUUAGAAGAUAAAUUAACGUUCAAAAGUUAUUAAUUUGGAAACAAGAAUCAAGACAAAUUCUUUAUUGAUACUCCCUUCGAUCCAAAAUAAAUGAUUUUUUGGCCUUUUUUGUGGUCCAAAAUAAGUGAUUUUUUCAGAUUUCAAGAAUGAAUUAAUUAUUUUUUUCCUACAUUGCCUUUGGAGUAAAUAGUGUUGGAGUAUGUGUUAGGAGUAUUUAUGUGAAGAGAUAGUAAAGGUUAAUGUGGUCAAUUUUAUUACUAAUUAAUGUUAAAAGAUAGAUUUCUUCAUCUGUGUGAAAAUAGCUAAAAAUUACUUAUUUUGGACGGGAGGAAGUAUAAGUUUUGUCAAUUUAAGUGCACUUCGUCAUGAGAUAUGAGAAAUUCAGAAUGAGUGACAAUGGAAGUUGUAUAACUGAUCUGAUUGUAUAAAUAUUUUUUAUAUUACCAAUGGCCAUUUGGUUCAAGAGAUUAGGUGUGUUAUUCCGAGAUAAAUUGGUUCAAGCUAUCAUGGUAGUAUAUACCCAGUUCUGAAAUCACCAUUGAAGUUGUACUCAUAUUGAACAAAACUUUGCAAGUUUACCCGCUUUAGGAUCAACUUCAGACUUAGCGUGCCUGAAAGACUUGUCUGGGAUAUAAUAGUAAUGUCUGAUCAACUGUAAUUGAGAAUCCAAAUGCUUGGGAUUAAGUUAUCAGG
RNAcentral lists this long non-coding RNA (3755 nucleotides) under Nicotiana tabacum (common tobacco). RNAcentral describes it as "long non-coding RNA (NTAB_LNC010407)". Lineage: Eukaryota; Viridiplantae; Streptophyta; Magnoliopsida; Solanales; Solanaceae. The record is from RNAcentral.